Molecule: transfer RNA, 65 nt
Filed under: Selenops insularis
Lineage: Eukaryota; Metazoa; Arthropoda; Arachnida; Araneae; Selenopidae
Description: partial tRNA-Leu
Source: RNAcentral
GAAUUAGAAUCUAAUAAAGCUAAUUAAUUCCAUUCACACUAUCAUACCUAAUUAUUAUUAUUAGA